GAAGCGCGCCAGGCCGUCGCUGGCACAGCCCGCAAGGGAACCCGAAAGGGAGUGCUGGAGGAACGUCCGGACUGCACAGGACAGCGUAGGAGGUAACACCUCUCCACCGACAAGCCGCAAGGCCCUAAGGUGAGGAUCAGAGCAACAGAGACGAGCCGAUUCAGUUCGGGUGAAACGGGCAAUCUCUACGCGCAGCAAUACCAAAUAGGCCAGCGUUGACGUGGUUCCGCGGAGCUGGCGGGUAGGUAGCACCGAGCCGGGUGGGUGACCCCCGGCCCAGAUGAAUGACGGUCACGUUCAGGGCCCUCGCAAGGGGGUUCGGGACGCACAAAAUCCGGCGUAUCGGCGCGCUUCACAC
RNAcentral lists this RNase P RNA (358 nucleotides) under Hydrogenophaga sp. RNAcentral describes it as "RNase P RNA component class A". It matches the Rfam family "Bacterial RNase P class A". Rfam says of the family: Ribonuclease P (RNase P) is a ubiquitous endoribonuclease, found in archaea, bacteria and eukarya as well as chloroplasts and mitochondria. Its best characterised activity is the generation of mature 5'-ends of tRNAs by cleaving the 5'-leader elements of precursor-tRNAs. Cellular RNase Ps are ribonucleoproteins. Lineage: Bacteria; Pseudomonadati; Pseudomonadota; Betaproteobacteria; Burkholderiales; Comamonadaceae. The record is from RNAcentral.